AUAUCUUUUGUGAAGAAGUAGUAAUGAAUUAUAUUUACUUUAAGAGAGUUGAUAAGUGGUGAGAAUCAAUAGUAAAUACCCAUGAAUUCACCUUCACUAAAAAAGAACGUAUAUUGGCGUUAACAAUUAAAGAGCAUGAUAAGUCAUGAAUUAAGGUGGUACCGCGGAACAAUCCGUCCUUAGU
RNAcentral lists this non-coding RNA (184 nucleotides) under Clostridium sp. Its description in RNAcentral is "T-box sequence". It matches the Rfam family "T-box leader". Rfam says of the family: Uncharged tRNA acts as the effector for transcription antitermination of genes in the T-box leader family. T-boxes are found upstream of many aminoacyl-tRNA synthetase genes and some amino acid biosynthetic genes usually in Gram-positive bacteria. The record is from RNAcentral. Lineage: Bacteria; Bacillati; Bacillota; Clostridia; Eubacteriales; Clostridiaceae.